Molecule: ribosomal RNA, 254 nt
Filed under: uncultured bacterium
Lineage: Bacteria
Description: partial 16S ribosomal RNA
Rfam family: Bacterial small subunit ribosomal RNA
Source: RNAcentral
CGGUUCUGCUGACGACCGGCGCACGGGUGAGUAACGCGUAUGCAACCUACCCAUAACAGGGGGAUAGCUUUCGGAAACGGAAAUUAAUACCCCAUAGUACCUUAAAUCCGCAUGGAUUAAAGGUUAAAACUCCGGUGGUUAUGGAUGGGCAUGCGUGCCAUUAGCUAGUUGGUGAGGUAACGGCUCACCAAGGCAACGAUGGCUAGGGGGUCUAAAAGGAUGGUCCCCCACACUGGUACUGAGACACGGACCAG